Molecule: small nucleolar RNA, 92 nt
Filed under: Chelydra serpentina (North American snapping turtle)
Lineage: Eukaryota; Metazoa; Chordata; Testudines; Chelydridae
Description: Small nucleolar RNA SNORD93 (ENSCSRG00000014955.1)
Rfam family: Small nucleolar RNA SNORD93
About the family: The members of this family belong to the C/D class of snoRNAs which contain the C (UGAUGA) and D (CUGA) box motifs. Most of the members of the box C/D family function in directing site-specific 2'-O-methylation of substrate RNAs.
Source: Rfam by way of RNAcentral
UGGCCAAGGAUGAAAAAAAACAUGAUCUGAUUGCAUAUCUGUUUACAAUGAUAUGCACAAGUCUGAUGGGUUAAAGGAUUUACCUGAGGCCA